CUACGGGCCGCUGCAGUGGGGAAUAUUGCACAAUGGGCGCAAGCCUGAUGCAGCCAUGCCGCGUGUAUGAAGAAGGCCUUCGGGUUGUAAAGUACUUUCAGCGGGGAGGAAGGGAGUAAAGUUAAUACCUUUGCUCAUUGACGUUACCCGCAGAAGAAGCACCGGCUAACUCCGUGCCAGCAGCCGCGGUAAUACGGAGGGUGCAAGCGUUAAUCGGAAUUACUGGGCGUAAAGCGCACGCAGGCGGUUUGUUAAGUCAGAUGUGAAAUCCCCGGGCUCAACCUGGGAACUGCAUCUGAUACUGGGAGGCUUGAGUCUCGUAGAGGGGGGUAGAAUUCCAGGUGUAGCGGUGAAAUGCGUAGAGAUCUGGAGGAAUACCAGUGGCGAAGGCGGCCCCCUGGACGAAGACUGACGCUCAGGUGCGAAAGCGUGGGGAGCAAACAGGAUUAGAUACCCCGGUAGUC
This 464-nucleotide ribosomal RNA is filed under the name uncultured bacterium. Its description in RNAcentral is "partial 16S ribosomal RNA". It matches the Rfam family "Bacterial small subunit ribosomal RNA", at positions 339 to 795 of the family's 1533-position model. The record is from RNAcentral.